CACUGUGUGAGGUGUACGUACUGACGACACGUGAUAGCCUACUGGGCUCUAUGAAUGGAAAUAUCGACAGAAUAUAGUAUCAUUAAAAACAAAAGUGCAGAUGUAAAUCAACCAUGCACGGGGAACUAAUUCUGAUGAUCAAAUCUUGUCAGGAUAAAAUGAUUGUACAUGUGGUGUAACAUUAGAAUAAAACUCCACUGACGGAAUGCCUCGGAAUCAUUGGAUUGCAAUCAACGACGGAGCAGCACGGACUAUCGAUAGGCUAUGUACUGCCUGUAGCCUGGUCGACUCCUCUCGUACGACAGCCUACUGAGAUCGGUGUGUCGAGAAUCGGUAUGGUAGUUUAACAACAGCGAUGUCGGCCUGGCAGUUGAUGCGGCACGCACCUGUAGCCUGCUGCCAAAGUGAUGAAGAAUGUUUGUAAGAGAAGAGAAGAAGAGAAGAGGAGUAGACAACUUGUGACCUCUGUGAAACUGAUAACAAGGAAGGAAGUCCCCCCACACAAAGAGGGGAGAAACUGUUGGGCUUGCAGUAGACAGUGCCACAUGUUGUAGGAUGUGAUAAGCAAUGUAUGCGUAGGAGAAAACUUGUCGACUAUAUUGUCAUUGUUUGAGAAGAGGAGGGACGUUUAUGACGAAAUGGAAGAUGUAUAAACCAAUGUACAUCAUAUGAUUGGGGAGAGCUCUCGUAAAUAAACGUUGCUGACUAUUGUAGACCUUGCCUCUUGUCUGUUUCAUUUCAACAAGAAUCUGACAAAUUCUUGGUAACAGACCGAGUAGUUUAAUUGAAGUUCAGUUUAUGAACAUUGAGAACAUAAUUCUAGCGGCAUGCAUGCAUGGAUUAACCUGAAGUGAUACAUGAACUAAUGGAUAUUCUGCCAUAGACAGGACAAGUUACUUUC
Oncorhynchus tshawytscha (Chinook salmon) is the source of this 901-nucleotide long non-coding RNA. NCBI's taxonomy places the organism in Eukaryota, Metazoa, Chordata, Actinopteri, Salmoniformes, Salmonidae. The record is from Ensembl.